GACAGAGACGGCGAGCGUUGCCCGGAUUCAUUGGGCGUAAAGGGCGCCUAGGCGGUCGUGCGUGCCAUCGGUGAAAUUUCUCCGCUCAACGGGGAAACGCCCGGUGUGACUGCACGGCUGGAGGGCGGGAGAGGGAAGUGGAACGACUAGAGUAGCGGUGAAAUGCGCAGAUACUAGUCGGUACCUCAAUAGCGAAGGCAACUUCCUGGCCCGUUCCUGACGCUGACGCGCGAAAGCGUGGGGAGCAAACCGG
This 253-nucleotide ribosomal RNA is filed under the name uncultured bacterium. Its description in RNAcentral is "partial 16S ribosomal RNA". It matches the Rfam family "Bacterial small subunit ribosomal RNA", at positions 524 to 776 of the family's 1533-position model. The record is from RNAcentral.